AGGACGAACGCUGGCGGCGUGCCUAAUACAUGCAAGUCGAACGGUCUUUUCUAUGGAAGCUUGCUUCCACUGAGAAGAUAGUGGCGAACGGGUGAGUAACACGUGGGUAACCUGCCCAUAAGAGGGGGGAUAACAUCCGGAAACGGGUGCUAAUACCGCAUAGUUUUCUUGAUCGCAUGAUCGGGAAAGGAAGGACGGCCUUUGUGCUGUCGCUUAUGGAUGGACCCGCGGCGUAUUAGUUAGUUGGUGAGGUAACGGCUCACCAAGACGAUGAUACGUAGCCGACCUGAGAGGGUGAUCGGCCACAUUGGGACUGAGACACGGCCCAAACUCCUACGGGAGGCAGCAGUAGGGAAUCUUCCGCAAUGGACGAAAGUCUGACGGAGCAACGCCGCGUGAGUGAAAGAAGGUUUUCGGAUCGUAAAACUCUGUUGUCAGAGAAGAACAAGUUGGAGAGUAACUGCUCCAGCCUUGACGGUAUCUGACCAGAAAGCCACGGCUAACUACGUGCCAGCCGCCGC
RNAcentral lists this ribosomal RNA (521 nucleotides) under uncultured bacterium. RNAcentral describes it as "bacterial SSU rRNA". It matches the Rfam family "Bacterial small subunit ribosomal RNA", at positions 26 to 518 of the family's 1533-position model. The record is from RNAcentral.